GCGCCCAUCGUCUAGCGGUUAGGACGACGCCCUCUCACGGCGUAAACAGGGGUUCGAUUCCCCUUGGGCGUACCA
This 75-nucleotide transfer RNA is filed under the name Devosia honganensis. RNAcentral's name for it is "tRNA-Glu". It matches the Rfam family "tRNA". Rfam says of the family: Transfer RNA (tRNA) molecules are approximately 80 nucleotides in length. Their secondary structure includes four short double-helical elements and three loops (D, anti-codon, and T loops). The record is from RNAcentral. RNAcentral also lists the same sequence under 4 other names. Lineage: Bacteria; Pseudomonadati; Pseudomonadota; Alphaproteobacteria; Hyphomicrobiales; Devosiaceae.